RNAcentral lists this ribosomal RNA (504 nucleotides) under Triticum aestivum (bread wheat). RNAcentral's name for it is "partial small subunit ribosomal RNA". The record is from RNAcentral. Lineage: Eukaryota; Viridiplantae; Streptophyta; Magnoliopsida; Poales; Poaceae.
AUGAUGGCGGAGCAGGGCCGCAGCCUCCCGACCUUCCUCUUCAACCCGCCGCACGUGUCGCCGAUUCCGGCGAUCGACAUGGUGCUCCCGUCCGAGGGUGCGAGGAGGGAGCUGCUCGCCAAGAGCAACCUCGUCAAGGUCGGGCUCGGGCUGGUCCUCAGCCCCCACCGGAAGCUCAUGGAGAGGCUGUUUGAACGGCUGUCCCCGUGGGCGCCAAACCUGUACGUGCACGAGAGGGACGUCAUCUGCCAGGGCUUCAUAGGCUACUUCGAGCAGCAGCAGCAGCUGGAGGAGCGCUGCCGUGGCGCCAAGUCGGCCACCACGCUGUCGUACCGUGACAUGCUCUUCUUCACGCUCGGCAAGGAGAAAGAGCGGCCGCACCUCCUGCCAUCCGCGACACUGUGGAAGAACUCGAGCAUGGAUAGAGACGCCAACCUGUCCAGCAGUCGCUGGCCGCACACGAGCUCCAGCAGUGGUGGAGACCGGACGGCGACCUCAGGUUGA